AGGCAGCAGUGGGGAAUCUUGCGCAAUGGGCGAAAGCCUGACGCAGCGACGCCGCGUGAGUGAGGAAGGCCUUCGGGUUGUAAACCUCUGUCAGGAGGGAAGAACGACCGCACGAGGAAAUGCGUGGGAUGAC
Molecule: ribosomal RNA, 133 nt
Filed under: uncultured Actinomycetes bacterium
Lineage: Bacteria; Bacillati; Actinomycetota; Actinomycetes
Description: uncultured actinobacterium partial 16S ribosomal RNA
Rfam family: Bacterial small subunit ribosomal RNA
Source: RNAcentral